UACGUAGGGGGCAAGCGUUAUCCGGAUUUACUGGGUGUAAAGGGAGCGUAGGCGGUUCAGCAAGUCAGAAGUGAAAGCCCGGGGCUCAACUCCGGGACUGCUUUUGAAACUGUUGAACUAGAUUGCAGGAGAGGUAAGUGGAAUUCCUAGUGUAGCGGUGAAAUGCGUAGAUAUUAGGAGGAACACCAGUGGCGAAGGCGGCUUACUGGACUGUAAAUGACGCUGAGGCUCGAAGGCGUGGGGAGCAAACAGG
This 253-nucleotide ribosomal RNA is filed under the name uncultured bacterium. RNAcentral's name for it is "partial 16S ribosomal RNA". It matches the Rfam family "Bacterial small subunit ribosomal RNA", at positions 524 to 776 of the family's 1533-position model. The record is from RNAcentral.